Long non-coding RNA from Oncorhynchus nerka (sockeye salmon), 345 nucleotides. RefSeq lists it as uncharacterized. NCBI's taxonomy places the organism in Eukaryota, Metazoa, Chordata, Actinopteri, Salmoniformes, Salmonidae. The transcript has 3 exons. The record is from RefSeq and is a predicted model, not a curated record.
CUGGGUCCCUCUGGUUUAUAGAGGAGUACGUAUCGGAGGGCUGAGGAUGAGUCUGAAACACGCCCAGAAUAAAGGAGAGCCUCACUUUCCCCACGACUACCCAGACUGCCCUGCAGGAGCACGCUUCCAGGAAGAGCAGGAGGCAGAGCUGCUGGCCAAGUUCAGGAGGCGCCCACCAGCCAAACGGACCAAUUACAUCAAACAUGGCUGCCUGGCUCCGUUCCGUUGUCCCUGGCAACAGCUGGUCGAGGGGAGCUGAUCGUGAAGGAGGAAGGAGGAGGAGGAGAGGAGGCGGUCGCAUCAAUGGAACAGGACGUGACACCACCACAGAGUAACUUCACAGUC